CGGACAACUGGGGAUAAUACCCUAUAGACUAUGGAUGCUGGAAUGCUCUGUCGCCGAAAGGUCAGCCUCCGUAGGAUGGGUCUGCGGCCGAUUAGGUUGUUGUUGGGGUAACGGCCCAACAAGCCUGUAAUCGGUACGGGUUGUGGGAGCAAGAGCCCGGAGAUGGAUUCUGAGACACGAAUCCAGGCCCUACGGGGCGCAGCAGGCGCGAAAACUUUGCAAUGCGGGAAACCGUGACAAGGGAACUCUGAGUGCCCGUAAAAUCGGGCUGUCGAUCGGUUUAAAUAACCGGUGAAGAAAGGGCCGGGCAAGAACGGUGCCAGCCGCCGCGGUAACA
This 337-nucleotide ribosomal RNA is filed under the name uncultured archaeon. Its description in RNAcentral is "partial 16S ribosomal RNA". It matches the Rfam family "Archaeal small subunit ribosomal RNA", at positions 133 to 475 of the family's 1478-position model. The record is from RNAcentral.